GUGUCUAUAGCUCAGUGGAUAGAGCGUGUUGUUUCUAAGCAAAAGGUCGUGGGUUUGAACCCUACCUAACGUG
Spinacia oleracea (spinach) is the source of this 73-nucleotide non-coding RNA. The record is from Rfam. Lineage: Eukaryota; Viridiplantae; Streptophyta; Magnoliopsida; Caryophyllales; Amaranthaceae.